Molecule: ribosomal RNA, 254 nt
Filed under: uncultured bacterium
Lineage: Bacteria
Description: partial 16S ribosomal RNA
Rfam family: Bacterial small subunit ribosomal RNA
Source: RNAcentral
UACGUAGGGACCAAGCGUUGUUCGGAUUUACUGGGCGUAAAGGGCGCGUAGGCGGCAAUUCAAGUCAUCUGUGAAAUCUCCGGACUUAACUCGGAACGGUCAGAUGAUACUGCUUUGCUAGAGUGCAGGAAGGGGCAACUGGAAUUCUUGGUGUAGCGGUGAAAUGCGUAGAUAUCAGGAGGAACACCUGCGGUGUAGACGGCUUACUGGACCAUCACUGACGCUGAGGCACGAAAACGUGGGUAGCAAACAGG